RNAcentral lists this unclassified non-coding RNA (413 nucleotides) under soil metagenome. RNAcentral's name for it is "partial contains 5.8S ribosomal RNA, internal transcribed spacer 2, and large subunit ribosomal RNA". The stretch from base 1 to 120 matches the Rfam family "5.8S ribosomal RNA", at positions 35 to 154 of the family's 154-position model. The record is from RNAcentral.
GAUGAAGAACGCAGCGAAAUGCGAUAAGUAAUGUGAAUUGCACAAUUCAGUGAAUCAUCGAAUCUUUGAACGCACCUUGCGCUCUUUGGUAUUCCGAAGAGCAUGCCUGUUUGAGUGUCAUGAAAAUAUCAACCUUGACUUGGGUUUUGUGCUCUAGUCUCGGCUUGGAAUUGGGUGCUUGCCGCUUUUACGAGCGGCUCACCUUAAAUGUAUUAGCUGGAUCUGUCUUUGAGACUUGGUUUGACUUGGCGUAAUAAGUAUUUCGCUAAGGACAUUCUUCGGAGUGGCCUCGUUUCUAGGACGCUUGUCCGCUUUCCAAUACAAGUUCCACCUCGUGGACAUGACUUUUUAUUAUCUGGCCUCAAAUCAGGUAGGACUACCCGCUGAACUUAAGCAUAUCAAUAAGCGGAGGA